ACUGAUUGAUUUGGUCGCCAACGAGUGGCGGACGGGUGAGUAACACGUAGGUAACUGCCCAGAAGCGGGGGACAACAUUUGGAAACAGAUGCUAAUACCGCAUAACAACGUUGUUCGCAUGAACAACGCUUAAAAGAUGGCUUCUCGCUAUCACUUCUGGAUGGACUGCGGUGCAUUAGCUUGUUGGUGGGGUAAUGGCCUACCAAGGCCGAUGAUGCAUAGCCGAGUUGAGAGACUGAUCGGCCACAAUGGGACUGAGACACGGCCCAUACUCCUACGGGAGGCAGCAGUAGGGAAUCUUCCACAAUGGGCGCAAGCCUGAUGGAGCAACACCGCGUGAGUGAAGAAGGGUUUCGGCUCGUAAAGCUCUGUUGUUAAAGAAGAACACGUAUGAGAGUAACUGUUCAUACGUUGACGGUAUUUAACCAGAAAGUCACGGCUAACUACGUGCCAGCAGCCGCGGUAAUACGUAGGUGGCAAGCGUUAUCCGGAUUUAUUGGGCGUAAAGAGAGUGCAGGCGGUUUUCUAAGUCUGAUGUGAAAGCCUUCGGCUUAACCGGAGAAGUGCAUCGGAAACUGGAUAACUUGAGUGCAGAAGAGGGUAGUGGAACUCCAUGUGUAGCGGUGGAAUGCGUAGAUAUAUGGAAGAACACCAGUGGCGAAGGCGGCUACCUGGUCUGCAACUGACGCUGAGACUCGAAAGCAUGGGUAGCGAACAGGAUUAGAUACCCUGGUAGUCCAUGCCGUAAACGAUGAGUGCUAGGUGUUGGAGGGUUUCCGCCCUUCAGUGCCGGAGCUAACGCAUUAAGCACUCCGCCUGGGGAGUACGACCGCAAGGUUGAAACUCAAAGGAAUUGACGGGGGCCCGCACAAGCGGUGGAGCAUGUGGUUUAAUUCGAAGCUACGCGAAGAACCUUACCAGGUCUUGACAUCUUGCGCCAACCCUAGAGAUAGGGCGUUUCCUUCGGGAACGCAAUGACAGGUGGUGCAUGGUCGUCGU
RNAcentral lists this ribosomal RNA (999 nucleotides) under Limosilactobacillus fermentum. Its description in RNAcentral is "bacterial SSU rRNA". It matches the Rfam family "Bacterial small subunit ribosomal RNA", at positions 66 to 1055 of the family's 1533-position model. The record is from RNAcentral. Lineage: Bacteria; Bacillati; Bacillota; Bacilli; Lactobacillales; Lactobacillaceae.